RNAcentral lists this long non-coding RNA (1006 nucleotides) under Monodelphis domestica (gray short-tailed opossum). RNAcentral describes it as "lncRNA (ENSMODG00000042199.1)". The record is from RNAcentral. Lineage: Eukaryota; Metazoa; Chordata; Mammalia; Didelphimorphia; Didelphidae.
UGGUUUGUCAGGCAGAGAAAAUCAUUGAACAGUUUUUCACAAGAUAACAAUAUACAGAGAGCUGCUUGGCAGGAUGGAUUGAACGAUGGCAGGCUGGAAGGAGGGAGAUCUACUUGGAGUUUAUACUAAUAGUUCAGCCUUGCUAUCUAUACAUGCAUAUGACUGUGAGGUGGACCCACGAAACUGCUGCCUCUUUAAUGACACCUUAGAGAUAGUUACAGGAAGGAGGAUCUUGCUGGAGCACCAAUCAAUGACUGAUGGUACAUUUCAUUCAUGGUAUCAAGCCUCAAAUGUUAAGGAAGUCGAAGGAGGAGCAAAUUGGAAGCUAUGGAAAAGCAAGGGAGGAUUGAUAGGGCAGGGAGAGAUCUAGGCAGAUUAGUUUAAAUGCCAAGAUGAUGGGUUUGAUUCUGGAUAUCAAAUUUGAGGUGCUGGCCUGAUAUCCAUGUGUAGUUGAAAAAGCAACAGUGAGGCUCAGAAGAGAGACUGGGGUAGGGGCAGUAGGGGGUCAGAGAUAGAAACAAUAGUUGAAGCUGUGGGAAUGGGUUAGAUCCCCAAACAGAAGUGUUUAAAGGGAAAAGGGAAGAAAAGAGAAGGAAAGGAAAGGAAAGGAAAGGAAAGGAAAGGAAAGGAAAGGAAAGGAAAGGAAAGGAAAGGAAAGGAAAGGAAAGGAAAGCAAAGCAAAGCAAAGCAAAGCAAAGCAAAGCAAAGCAAAGCAAAGCAAAGCAAAGCAAAGCAAAGCAAAGCAAAGCAAAGCAAAGCAAAGCAAAGCAAAGCAAAGCAAAGCAAAGCAAAGGCAAGGAAAGAUGGCUGUGAUAUAUUAAAAAAAAAAGACAUGGAGUCAACUUUCACCCAAAUGAUGAUUUUAUAAUUUCACAAAGCAAAGGAAGAACCAGUGAUCUUCUGAACCAAAGGCAAGGCCUUCCAAUGCCAGGCAGGGUUAGAGACCUGGAGUCACCUUCCUCUGAACUAGCUGCCUUAGGACCCUAAAGAACUUCUUCUCUUUGUG